Molecule: RNA transcript, 2637 nt
Organism: Prosopis cineraria
Lineage: Eukaryota; Viridiplantae; Streptophyta; Magnoliopsida; Fabales; Fabaceae
Exons: 6
Source: RefSeq, a predicted model, not a curated record
AACCACCUCUCUCUCUCUCUCUCUCUCUCUCUCUCUCUCUAUAACCACACCAGGCGAGAAUUUUGUAGGAGGAUCUGAUGUACUCGCUUGUGGAUCACAACUAUAUUGAUGAUCAUGAUGGCCCAUGAAACUAAAGAAAAUAUGCAAAAGAUCUGUGAGGCACCUUUGAAAUGCCUCCAGUGCAAGGGAUUCCCUUGCAAUUUACGAUAUAAUGGAAGUCCUAAGGAUGGUUUUAUGGAGCUUAAAAAUGAGCCUGUUACCCAUCAGGCUAGGGAUGUUGCUGAACCUGACUACCCAAUCACUAAUGAGCUUCUUGAGCCUUCCAAUGAAUUUCACAACAAACAUAAUUAUCACCAUGAUUACAAUGCCUGGUCAAACUAUCAUUUUAACUCACAAAAGGUGCUGCAAUGCCAAAUGAAUGCUUUUGAAGGGCAUUUUUACCCAUUCCCUGUCGAGGGUCAGUUUCAGUUUGUUCCUAUCAACAUGUACGCUCCAGGUCACCCUCAUGAAUUUCAAUAUCAAGAAUUUCAGUAUUUUGUGGUCAUAGACUUUGAGGCUACCUGUGACAAGGAUAAAAAUCCUCACCCUCAAGAAAUUAUCGAGUUUCCAUCUGUCAUAGUGAGCAGUGUGACUGGCCAGCUGGAAGCAUGUUUUCAGACGUAUGUGAGGCCCACCUGCAAUCAGCUUCUGAGUGAUUUCUGCAAGGAUCUGACUGGUAUCCAGCAAAUUCAGGUGGACAGAGGUGUUACAUUGAGUGAGGCCCUCCUUAGGCAUGACAAAUGGCUCGAGAAGAAAGGAAUAAAGAACACUAACUUUGCUGUGGUUACAUGGUCUAACUGGGACUGUCGGGUGAUGCUAGAAUCUGAAUGCCGGUUCAAGAACAUACGGAAGCCUCCUUAUUUUAAUAGAUGGAUCAACUUGAAGAUUCCAUUCCGUGAGGUAUUUGGUCCUGCGAGGUGCAAUCUAAAGGAGGCUGUUGAGAUGGCAGGUUUGGCCUGGCAGGGCCGUGCUCACUGUGGCUUGGAUGAUGCCAAAAAUACUGCUCGCCUGCUGGCACUUCUUAUGCGCCGGGGCUUCAAAUUUUCUAUCACAAAUUCUAUAAUGUGGCAGACUGCUGAUCAAUCUUAUAUGUCGAAGCUGUCUCCGGAGCAACUCAACUUUGCCCCUCAAUACCCCAAGAAAACAAAGGACAUGCAUAUUAACACUCAAAUGUUUCAGUAUCAUCCUCACUGCUACUGUGGAGUGAAAAGCAGUAAGGGAAUGGUCAGGAAGCCAGGACCCAAGCAAGGGAGCCAUUUCUUUGGCUGUGGAAAUUGGACUGCUACUCGAGGUGCUCGCUGCCAAUACUUUGAAUGGGCUUCUGCUGCCUAACUGAAUCUGAUCAAUGGUAGUCAAAUCCUAAGUUUUCUUAUAUGUUCUGUGUUAUAAAAAAAAAAUGAAAAAGAAAGUGGAUUGGUGGAUGACGAAAGCAGGGUUGUCUCCUGGUGCAAGCAUGUAUGCCUGGUUUGCUUGGUGAGGUUUCUGCUUCAUCAGUAAUAUAGACAGAAGUAUUUGGCUCAUAUAUUAUGCUUAAUCGAGUGUCUGCUUAAGACAUUGUAGUAGUGUUGUGAAGAGAGGAGGGUUUGGUGGGGUGGGGAGGCUCAACCUGUAAAGCUGACUUGUUGACUGGAGAACAAAUCUGGAAUGGGUAGUUAGGGUGAUGCUUUUGAGUGAAUGCUCAGGCGGGCUAAGUUAUCUUGAAUAAUAAUGAGUUUAAAAAUUGAUGAUGGGGCUUACGGUGAAUGAUGUGGAAUCUCCAUGUAAGCAUGCGGUAGAUUAAUGGCUGACACGUGGACUAAAAAGGAAGAGAAGAAAACUUGUAACAGUGGAGCGGUUCGAGAUCGAGAGCUCGCUCAGGGCUUAUCACUUCUGCAUUUUAACCAUGCAAAAUCUAUGCCUUUGAGAAACAUGCUCAAUGAUAAGAGGAACAACGCCAUUGGUGGUGGGUUUGGAUCAUCCUCGAGCCUUUCUCUUGGUCAGGUCUGUGCUUCAUCACCUUUUGCUGAUACGAAAACAUCAAUCUCCUCUCAGUUGCUCUAAUCUGGUGCUAAGUUUUGCUUGGAAGUGAAAAUAGAAAAGAUGGCUGGCGAUCGAAAGCCAAAGGUCGUGAUUGUUGGGGGAAGUAUAGCUGGGGUAUCAACUGCGCUUGCGCUCUGUUCGGCGGGCUGGGAAGGGUUGCUGCUUGAGAAAACCAGCUCACCUUCCACCGGAAAGUCCCACCGGAGCUGGUCUCGGACUUGAUUCUCUCUCUCUAAGGAUCAUAGCUUCACGGCUUUCUCAACCGGAGUUCAUCCACCACUCCACCGUAGCCGUUACCAUUGAUCAGGUCUCGCAAAAGGUCUGAUGGUGGAGGAAUGCCUGUGACGUGGAUGAGCCAUGAAUGGAGAAGAAGAAAUGGACCCCACUGGGCUCUCUGCUUUAUUUAAAAGUAUCAGACGUGAGCUUCAAUUUAACAGAUUUAAUUAGUCAGGAUUUAAAAUAUAUCAAAUGCAGGUUUAGAAUCUGUAGUUUAAAAUUUAAAUUGCAUAAUAACCCUUUAAACAUCCUUGUAAAAUUGGAAAGAAUCAGUAACACCUGCGUCAGAGAUUCAUUGUUUUA